CCUACGGGAGGCUUCAUUUUUUCCUCUUUUCCCCUGGGGGGACCCCUGACCCAGCCCUGCCGCGUGUGUGCCGAAGGCCCUCGGGUUGUAAAGCACUUUCAGUGCGCAAGCACGCCUCGUCGUUAACACCCACCAGGAAAGACAUCACUCACAGAAGAAGCACCGGCUAACUCCGUGCCAGCAGCCGCGGUAAUACGGAGGGUGCGAGCGUUAAUCGGAAUUACUGGGCGUAAAGCGCGCGUAGGUGGCUUGAUAAGCCGGUUGUGAAAGCCCCGGGCUCAACCUGGGAACGGCAUCCGGAACUGUCAAGCUAGAGUGCAGGAGAGGAAGGUAGAAUUCCCGGUGUAGCGGUGAAAUGCGUAGAGAUCGGGAGGAAUACCAGUGGCGAAGGCGGCCUUCUGGACUGACACUGACACUGAGGUGCGAAAGCGUGGGUAGCAAACAGGAUUAGAUACCCGAGUAGUC
Molecule: ribosomal RNA, 465 nt
Filed under: Vreelandella stevensii
Lineage: Bacteria; Pseudomonadati; Pseudomonadota; Gammaproteobacteria; Oceanospirillales; Halomonadaceae
Description: partial 16S ribosomal RNA
Rfam family: Bacterial small subunit ribosomal RNA
Source: RNAcentral